This 92-nucleotide small RNA is filed under the name Phascolarctos cinereus (koala). RNAcentral describes it as "7SK RNA (ENSPCIG00000008318.2)". It matches the Rfam family "7SK RNA", at positions 6 to 101 of the family's 331-position model. Rfam says of the family: 7SK was discovered as an abundant small nuclear RNA in the mid-70s but a possible function has only recently been suggested. Lineage: Eukaryota; Metazoa; Chordata; Mammalia; Diprotodontia; Phascolarctidae. The record is from Rfam by way of RNAcentral.
UGAGGGUGAUCUGGCUGUGACAUCUGUCACCCCAUUGAUCAGAAGGGUUAAUUUAUCUGAAAUGGCUCAGUAGUUAUCCCCUUACUCCCUCA